Long non-coding RNA from Magnolia sinica, 941 nucleotides. RefSeq lists it as uncharacterized. The record is from RefSeq and is a predicted model, not a curated record. Lineage: Eukaryota; Viridiplantae; Streptophyta; Magnoliopsida; Magnoliales; Magnoliaceae. The transcript has 4 exons.
GAAAAUGCUACGUUAUUUGAAAGAGGAUUUCCAAAUCCAUCGAGCGCCUUUCCUCUUUUCCUCUUUUCCCUCUCUCAUCUUUCAUCGAGAAAUCCUCCAUCGAGCGUCAUCUUCCAUCCUGCAGUCUGAUUAGAGAUCACGAAACAUUGCAGAAAGUAGCAGUCUCCCUCUCUGCUACUGUGAUGCUGUGGUGCUGCUGUUGCUGAGAAAAGCAAUUCAAAAUGGAACAAAGGCAGCAGAGAUGCAUAAAAGAUGAAGGAAUCUGAUCAGGUAAUUAGAUUGUUUUGGGGGUAUCAUCAGUGUGCCUUUGUUAUUGACCCAGAAGAUAUUGACAAUGGCUUCAAUGGACUGGUUUUGCAUCUUUCAACGGACAAUAUCCUGGCUUAUUGUCUAUUCAAGCUUCUAAAUGAGAUAGUUUCUUAUUUGAUAUGUGGCACAAUGCUGAAUGAUUGAGAAAAAAUGGGAGUUAGGAAGAGGACUGCUGGGAUUUUUAAAAGUUCAGGUACAGUUAGGAUUAUCCAAAAGCUUUGGCACUUGUUUAUGGAUGCUUGGCCAUUGAACUCUUGAUUAUUGUAGUAUUCUUUUAAACACCAUAAUAGCUCUCUUAUUAGAAAACUGAUCACCUACAACUGGAAGUAUGGUAUGACGAUUCUUUCGUAUUUCAAAUUUUUUAUUUCUACUUUUUUCCCUUGAAAAUCUUUUAUAUUUUCAAGAGAAAAUGUUUAUAGGAAUGGAUUUUAAGCUAACCUACAGCCAGUUGUCGGUGCAGUCUUUUUAUUUUGCAAAAAAAAAAAAAAGAAAAAAAAAGUACUUAUUCACUUGUGCAUAUUCUUUGGUAGUUAUGGAACGAUGGCUUUGUACCUUAGCUUGUGGCUGCAUUUGCCAAGGAUUUCCAAUCCAUGCAUCAGGUAGGCCCCACCAUAUGGAUGACAUGAACCCUG